This 1281-nucleotide long non-coding RNA is filed under the name Cyanistes caeruleus (blue tit). RNAcentral's name for it is "lncRNA (ENSCCEG00000018343.1)". Lineage: Eukaryota; Metazoa; Chordata; Aves; Passeriformes; Paridae. The record is from RNAcentral.
UGGAACUGUUAUUAACAUCUUCUGCCGAGAGCUUUUUCACAAAUAUCUUGGUAUAGUACUUUCUUUCAAAUUCUGACCAGGCAGCUAUUAACUGAAUGGAAGCAAAAGAGGUGUAAGUAAUAUUAUUUCUCUGCAUAUAAUAUUUUCAUAAUUAGUCAUCCAGUUAAUUCAGGGGACUCAGCAAGGAGCCUCUGAUUGCUCUUCCUGGUUUCUAAUUUUGGUCACUCUCUGCUUUCAAACUGCCCACAGGGAGGACAAACACACCUAGGAGCUCUCAGGUCCUCAGGAGAGAUGUUCACAUGAAGUUUUUAAUUGAUUGCUGUCAGACAGGAAGGUUGUAGUGUAUCAUUCUUGGAAAUGUUAAAAAUCUGUCUGUAAAGGGUCCUGGGUAACUGCAUCUGGGUGCCCCUGCUUGAGCACAGAGCUUGGGGCAGUGACCUACAGAAGUCCCUUUCACCCUCAACUAAGAAUUCUGUGAUUCUGACACUCCUUGUGACAUCAGGGAGAACUUGGAUCAAGGUCAUACUGUGACAUUUUUUAUGUCCUUAAGGAAAACAUUAACCUUUUCCUUGAAGGCUUUCAAACACAGUCUUGACAGAACUGUAGGUUUCUGUACAGAGGUAGCUAUAGCUCAUGGUAAUGAUGAUAUCAGCACGAAGCUGAAGGCUGCACAGUUCAACCAGAAAGCUUCCUCCAUUACUAGAGAGGUCAGCUCUACAGAAACUUGGAAAUAUGAAUCAAGAUACACAGAACUUGGUCAGCUUAAGCUAGCCAGCUGAGCCAAACAGGUGAAAAAUACAGAGAAUAUUCACAUUUUAAUUAAAAAUGUUAUGCAUCAGCUUUAAGUGGAGAAAGCGCUUCUUAGAUUGCUUCAGGUGAUGGAUCUGGUGCAGAGUCCUGACUGGGUCUUUAGUAUUCUCUGUGGCUCUGUGAAAAGUCUCUUCAUCUCACCUUAAUGUCAGACAUCUAUUGAACUACUUAUCUGGAUGUCUUCUACAAUUGUCUGAGAAAAACAAGCACAAUUUAUUUAACCUGUUUUAACACACCUAUUUAAGGAUAAAAUUAUUUGUGCUCUUCCAAGUGCUUUCGAUUGGCUGUAGCAGAUAAAUGUGUUAUCAGACACAGGCUGAUGUAGUUUUCAAAGCAUGGACUGAUGAAACCCACCUUGCCACCCCUGUUUUCUCUCAUCCUUUUUCCACAGUUAUCCAUCUAAACUCCAAGAUUUCUGGAGAAGUGGCAACUUCUAAUUUAUGUGAUGGUGUCUUGAAUCAAUAAUCAAAC